GCCAGCCGGCAUUUACUACGUUACUAUACGCCAACGACACUCCGGUUGAGCCGGCGCAGCGUAUAAGUCGCGAGUCGUUCCUGCCGAAUACUCGUUCUUUUGUUUGUGCGCGUUCCCACCCCCCGACGGCGCCUGGACUAUUGAACUGUGGACGAACUCUGAGCGUGGCCAUUAACCGAGGACCAGCGCGGGAACCCCUCGUCACGGCUAGCGUCGUCCUCUACGAGCUUCGCAUCGAGCGUCCUAAACGCUCAAAAGGCAUUUCCAUUUCGUUUGUGCAUUUUUCGAGAUGGUCUAGCUGGCGAGGGUGGCGCACGCCUUAGAGAAGUUAAAUUCAGUUGCACUAGCUAGCGCUUACUAGGAUGUAUGGCUACAUCACAAGAUAACGUAAAGUUAGUUUUGUUGCUUAGCUGUAAGCCCGAGGUUUCGCGGGCAUGGCUUGCGGCCACACGGGUCUUCUCCGUGCCGGAAUCGAAGAGGACGGGCCACGUGUUGCGGGGUGGCGGCGUAUAGCUUCAGGUUUAGCGGUCACACAGCUUAGCUCACACUAGGCAGGCUAGCCGAUAGCCGUCCUCAUGCGACUGCGUCAGGGACAUGGACCCAUCCGUAUGGCCUUGCCACCCGACCCCACUAUUUCGUGACAAGGUAGCCUGCGCGCGGGAGUGCGCGGACUACCUUGCGAAAUCUAGCGAAAUGUGGACUCACGGUAGCAAGCGUCAUUCGGAAACUGCCUCGCCAGCUAUCAUGUACUAACCCGCUCUACGCAGCAGCUCUACGCCGGACGUCGCCUGCUGUGUUCGUCGGAGCAGGGCCGGGCAUCAGCUGCGAGCGUCACUCGCACCGCCGCACACAGUCUUCCGUCGUCGGUGCGGUCUUGUGGGCCUGGACUACUACGGGAUCCCGAGGUCCGCUUUCGAGAUUGCGGACCACGAGUAGAAAGGAUAUCCAGUGUGCUGCUCCACGUUUGCCAUCCUCCCAACGUCCCCCACCGGAGAUGGCCUUGAGCACUUCUUACCGUGGCUGACCGCGUUGGCUCCUUUGCAUUUCCACGUCCAUGGCGUCCUGCUGGCACGGGAGACUUCGUCUGCUACUACUGUCCACGUGUAAGAUGGAUAUCCAGCGCGCUGCUCCACGUUUGCCAUCCUCCCAACGUCCCCUUCAGGAGAUGGCCUAGAGCACCGCUCGCACCGUGGCCGACCGUUCCCCUUGGCCGGUGCGGUCUCGCUGGCAGGCGAGAUUGCUCAUCGCCCUGCUUUGC
RNAcentral lists this long non-coding RNA (1258 nucleotides) under Dermacentor andersoni. Its description in RNAcentral is "uncharacterized LOC126527149". The record is from RNAcentral. Lineage: Eukaryota; Metazoa; Arthropoda; Arachnida; Ixodida; Ixodidae.